Long non-coding RNA from Onychostoma macrolepis, 531 nucleotides. RefSeq lists it as uncharacterized. The record is from RefSeq and is a predicted model, not a curated record. The transcript is spliced from 5 exons. Lineage: Eukaryota; Metazoa; Chordata; Actinopteri; Cypriniformes; Cyprinidae.
GCUACUUCAGCAGAGUUUGAAAAAUGUUUCUGGAGUCGCGACGCGUGAGGGAGCUUCGCUGAUCAAACGAGAACAGAGGAGCGGCGUGUUUGGAUGAUUAUAAGACUUUAUGUACUGUAGAUAAUGAAACAAGAUCAGUACAGAUUUGUUACUGGAGAUACAGUGAGGAGACACAGACCAGUACUGAAGAGGUAACAAACCAAAGGAAGAGGACAGCAGCUUUGCUGUGUCAGUUGUAGUAAAUACAGGAACAUUCUUCAUGAAGAUGUGCAAGGGAAGAUGAGGGGGAAAAAUUAAAGCCCAGUGUCAGUGAAAAUGGUGUGAUCAGGAAUUCUGGUGUUUGUAGGAAAUCUGAAGGAACAUCUCCCAGCAUUCUACUACGGUGUUGCCCUGAUGAUUGAGGAAUUUUUUUUUGGACUUUCCUGCCUCUUUGGAACAUUUCCGUUCACAGAGACUGUGGAGAGAUGGUGUGCAGCUUUAUGACAUUUGAAGUUUACUGCCGAUGGAGAGCUUCUGGGACACUGACAAACA